UAGUUGAUUGGCUUCUGUAUCCUCAAGAUGACUGUGGACAAGUCUCUCAGGCCUGUGGGGAUUGCUACAUAUUCAGGCUGAGAAAAUGUCUUUUCUCACUCCCCUAAACCCUCUGCUAUUUGGCUCUCCAGUCUCCCAAAUUUUGAGGAUGCCUAUAACAUAUUUCCAAAUUUGUUGUAAAGGAAAUUUUAAUAGCUGAGAUAUCUUGGUAUCCAGCCAUUUAGCAUAGCUGUUUUAUUAACUUAGUCCCUACUUUUUUCCUGGAAGGAUGUUGUAUCUCAUAGCUAGAACAGGGAAAAUGAUGGUAUCUCCUUCAAAAACAGGAAAAUUGGAAUUCCCAUUGUGGCUCAGUGGUAACGAACCUGACUAUUAUCUAUGAGGAUGUUGGUUUGAUCCCUGGCUUUGCUCAGUGGGUUAAGGCUCUGGCGUUGCCAGAAGUUGUGGUGUAGUAGGUCAGAGACACUCCUUAGAUAUGACAUUGCUGUGGCUAUGGUGUAGGCUGGAAGCUGCAGCUCUGAUUCAACUCCUAGCCUAGGAACUUACAUAUGCCACAGAUGUGCCCCCAACAAAAAAAGCAAAAAACAAAACAAAACAAACCCAGGAAAAUUAAUGGGGGCUAUAUCUGAAUAAACUUAUCAUUUUGAUAGGAAAGUACUCUUCUAGAAAAUAUGAAGCAUUCACAGUAUACAACUUUCACACCCUUCCUCAGAAUACAAAUAUUUCUUUAACUCAUUUAGCGUGUAUCAGAUUUUGCCACUUGGGAUUCAAAACAGCAAUAAGAGACCAUAUGCAUGAAGCUGCCAUUUUUAGAAAACAGAUCAUGAGAAUAGUUGGCUGGAAACAAAGUAAGGGGGAAUUAGUUGUAUAGUAAAUUAUUCUUUUUAUAAAUAAGUUCAACAAAGAAUUCUUUUAAAAAUAAAGCUGAUCAUAUGCAAUGAUUAUUGAUUUAUUUGACACAGAUGAGGGAAAAGAUGACAUUUGAAGUUAAAAUGUAGGUAUCACAAGUGGAUGAAGAUCAAUUACAAUAAGAGUGGGAGGGAAAAGAAUAUUACCAGAAUUUCAGUUCACAUACAUUCUUCCCUUCCAACCUCCAGAGCUAAAUUUUGAGACUUUUUGAGGAUAGGUUACAAAUGGAUUUAACAAAUUCACCAGAAGCCUUUUUGCAUGGUGACUAAGGCUCCUCCUUGGAAAGUACUUGCCCUGAGGAAAAAGAUGCCUGGAUCAAGACAGUGAAUGUGAAAGAGAGAGUCUUUCUGAGCAGAACACUGAACCCUCCUCAUCAGCUUUAUUUUUUUGGCUCAAGCAUCCCUGCCCCUGACUCAUGGAUGAGCCUAUACAGAUUAGAGACCUAGUGACCUGAAAGCCUUGUAAGUUGUUGGAACAUAAACAGCACAUUCUUAGAGAUGCCUCUAAUAUAGGACAGGUAUGUUGUGAGCCUACAAGUGCUUUGGGUUGAUGCUGACUUGAAUACUGGGGCUACUAGUUGGAAAGUUUGGUUCCUAGUGAAAGAUGGAAGAACAGUACCACAACUUGUUAGAGACUCUGGGGCCUCAUAGGAGUAUUCUUGUUUUUGUGGCAACUCUUGGGGACCCCUACAAAUAUUUGAUGGAGAUUUUGUAGGGUGCUGAAGGUUUUGAAUUUUUUGGUCUAAGCCCCGGGCCAGUGAAAUGUGAGUUACAAUUUUUGUGAAGCCCAGGAAUAUUCAGUUUAAACAGAAAUCUAUACUUUGGCCCAAGAUGAGCCUGAAAAUUUGGCCUGGCUUGAAGCUUUUGUGGGCUUACAAUAAUGAUACUGCCUUGCAGGCAUUUUGGAUGACCCUCGUGAUUGAAAAGAGACUCCUGGUUUUAAUCUCAGAAACUGUCAGAAUGAUUUAGCUCUUUGGGGGAAUCUAGACUGAGGGUUAUAUUCUUGCCAAUAGAAACUGGGAUAUAAAACAACUCUAGGGUCUUUAAAAAGCUUAAAGCAUGGCCAGUAUUCUAGGAGCUUUCCUGGAAUGUGUCUGGAAGGUGUUUCUGUAUGAACCAGUUGCCAUACCAGGCACAUUCACCUGGCAACACAGUAAUCUGGCAUCCUUGCGAAACCCCUUGUUAGCAGAUCUCUACCAAGUUUGUACACAGUAAAGUUCUCCUUGACCAAAGGUCAGGCUUCCUCUGUUCCCUGGAAUGCAAAUGCAGAAAUAAGCAAAAAAGAUCCUUGAGUACCCAGAAUAGCUUCCAUGUCCCCAGACUAAAGCCACAGACUUUUCUUCUUAAAGGCUUAGUGCUUUCACUUAGAGAUUGUUUAUUCUUACUUAACCGAAGUCAUAAUAAUUGUGGGUUUUUCUGGCUUCCCAGCUCAAAGUAGAUUAUAAGUAACAAAUUUGGAAGGAGUAAGGGAAUAUUAGAGGCAAACAUACUAGCAGUAAUGAAGUGACAGUUGUUAAAUAAGGAAGGAGGAAGCAGAAAAUUAAGAACACAGGCACAAAACUGUGUGUUUUUUUCAGAAUUAUGCAGUGAUAGCAAUUCAUUAUGAAGGCAGUUAUCAAAAAGGCCAAAUUAUGUUCAGAAGUUGCUAUUUUAAAAAAGCAGAGAAUAAUUUGAUGAAGUUUUAAAAAAUUUACAUAAAAUGAUGUAAAAAAUAGGUUUGAGCAUCCAAAGGAGUAAGUUUGAGCUAUCUAGAUGAAAUGCAUGGCCUGCCUCUUUCCAAAGAUGAUUACUAUAUUUGAAUUCUCAGAGCACUCUAUUUGUACCUUUCUAAUGGUGCUUGCUGUUUUCAUCAUUAUAUUACAGUCAUUUGAGUUCAUGCUAAAUGCCAUUUAACUCACUCGGAGGUGUGGAGGAAGCUGGAUUUAGUUUCUAUCAUGCCAUGAUGCAUGUGACUGAUGAAUCAGUCACUCUCUGCUUUAGCUUUUUUAUUUAUAAGACAUAGGUUUGGAACAGAUGAACUUGAGAUUCUUCCGGUUUGUGAAUUUUAUUCCUUUAUAUAGUAAAUUAUAAGAAUUUUAUAGCAUGGUGCAGAGGUAUAGGUGAAUCUCAAUUUUACACAUAAAGGAUAUCUGUGGUCACAACCAAACAAGUUAUAUAGACCUAUUGCCUAAUAAACACUCAUCUUUGUAACAUAUACAAGACGGGUUUUUUAAAAAGGUUAUAUUUGGCAUAUUUUGUUCUUACUUGCUUGGCAGCUAUUUUCUCUUCUGAUAUUACUUUGGAAAAAAUGCCUUUGUUACUGUCUCAGUCUGUGUGAUCCUGUGAAGUGACCUCAUCCACUGGCUCUAGAAUGGUCAGAUAACCGAGGCCUGACCAGUGACGUAAGCCAUCACUAAGGGCAGAGUGAUUGGUUCAGUGAUGGACAUGUGACCCAAGCGGACCCAAAAAAAGCCAAAUGUGGGACUUUUCCUAGAACUAUUGACACAUUCAGGAAAUAUGUAGAGGUUCUACCUUCUUAACGCUGUGUGCUUUCUUUAAGAAUAUAUUCCUGGAGUUCACGUUGUGGCGCAGCGGUUAACAAAUCCGACUAGGAACCAUGAGGUUGCGGGUUCUAUCCCUGGCCUUGCUCAGUGGGUUAACGAUCUGGCAUUGCCGUGAGCUGUGGUGUAGGUCACAGACGUGGGUCAGAUCUGGCGUUGCUGUGGCUCUGGCAUAGGCCGGUGGCUACAGCUCCAAUUCCACCUCUAUCCUGGGAACUCCAUAUGCCACGGGAGUGGCCCCAGAAAAGG
This 3694-nucleotide long non-coding RNA is filed under the name Sus scrofa (pig). RNAcentral's name for it is "lncRNA (ENSSSCG00000052922.1)". The record is from RNAcentral. Lineage: Eukaryota; Metazoa; Chordata; Mammalia; Artiodactyla; Suidae.